RNAcentral lists this long non-coding RNA (17758 nucleotides) under Xyrichtys novacula (pearly razorfish). Lineage: Eukaryota; Metazoa; Chordata; Actinopteri; Labriformes; Labridae. The record is from RNAcentral.
UCUCACUCCACAGCCAUAAAAAAUACAUCAAAAUGGAGGUAUAUGUGUCCUGCUUCUCACAAAAGAGGUUUCAAAUCAUUAAAUCCUACCCCUUGGCCAGCAGGUGACCAACUGUCCAAAUAGGCGGAAAUCUCUCCCCAUUGGCCCUAAUGUAUUUUUUCUCCAAGAAAAUCCUUAUCGCCACUGAGGCUCAGACUUUUUUAACUCGCUGUUGUGGCCACAUUUUUCGGAGUACAGACAUGAAAAACACAUCAUUGUGUUCAUGAAGGACGGAGGAUUCGUACGAUGUUCUUAUUUUCAUUCUGGGACUUAAGGAAAUCACGCUAUGUGAAGAAGUUCACAGGCUGAAAUUCACUGCAGUUCAGCACCUCUCAGUCAAACAGUAGGUUAGUGAUUUGCCUUUGAUCUCACAGCUGUUUAGGAUGCAGUCAUUAACGAGACACACACACACACACACACACAUUCUUGUACUUGUUGCUUUUUGAGGUCCACCUUGCAGUUCAGCUGCUUGUACACACAGUUAAUAUGUGUCUGCUUCACCACCUAUCUCCACCCACAAACUUUGAGCUACAGAAACCAUUCUGGGCUUGAAAAAUUCAGCUCAUUGAAGAUAUUAUGGGGUGUUUUGAGGAUUGUGAUAAUAAAUUGUAUUAAUGUGUUCAGCAGAGUCUUGUGUUCUCACAAGCUCCUUAUGAAUAUAUACAGAGGGUGAGCGUCAGGGCCUACUUGGAGUCCUGUUUCUUUAGCUUCAAGCCUUCUUUCUCCUGCUAUAGUUAUGCAUCCAAGGUCCCCAUGGCAACCAAUUUGUGCACCUGGAGACACACAGCUGACUGGAAAGCUGCUUCUAAUGGCCAUAUGAGACACAUGAAGCCAGGCUCAGUACACAUAGCACUGGGGAUGACACUUAAAACCCUUUCCUAGAGCGUUGGAAAAAACUUCAGCCCCUAUCUCCUCACAUGACCUUUGACCUACAGAAACCAUUCAGGGCUUUAAAAUUUAAGCUCAUUGAGGACAUUAUGGGGUGUAUUCAGGAUUUAUAUUCAUUUACAUUUUUCACAUUUUAAAAGUCAGUCAGUGAUGAUUUAUCAUUUAAUUUUUCAAACUAAUUUAAACUCAUUCAAACUGAUACUUGAGGAUUUUAAAGUAUUUAAAUUUUCCAUGUUUUAAAUUAGUUUUAAUAUUCAUGCAUUACUCCAUCCUUCAAACAAAAUCCUACCUCAAGUACGACAACUACUGCUAAUGUCAAUUUAACUAGUACUUUCCCCUCUACUUCAACUGCUAUUGCUCCUAUUUCUACUUUCUCUACUUCAACUGCUAUUGCUACUGUUUCUACUUUCUCUACUAUUUUGACUUAUACUUCUUUUAUUCUCAAACUACUUCUACUGCUGACACGACUACUAGUAUCACGACUUGACCUCUUAUCAUACUACUUCUAGUACUACAACUUAAACUAAUGCCACUUCUCACCUUCCUGCCUUUUAAGGCAAUUUCCUUCUUCAUUCAAACUUUGUGCAAUUUUAGACAUUUUUCUAGCCUCAUUCAGCAUGAAUCAAAUUUCCUUUUAUAGAGCAUAUUCAUACUAUUUGUCCUUCAACCAAUGAAACCAUUAUCCAACUUAUAUUUCUUUUUCAUUACUUCAACAGCUUUAACAUUUAUACCUUUCUCCAUGUUUUAUUAGCAGUUUAAGCAUUGCUUUUUCAGCUUUAGCACUCAGCAUUUCCACGCAUUUUCUGCAAGGAAAUGCAAUUUUUCUAGUUAAGUGGAAAUGCUGAUAGGCAUUUCCACUUAUUGUUAUUCUCCUGUUUCUUUAUUAUUAUUAUUAUUAUUAUUAUUUUUCUUCCGCCAUUUUUUGGCACUUUAUAACUCUUCUCCACUUUGUGCGAUUUCAACCGUUCAAACUUUAAACUAUUCCUCUCCUUCAGGACAUGACGGCGAUUACUUUUCACUUUUCUACCCUUUAUACUUUUUGAUUUUUUUAACUUUUUAUGCAAAAAUUUUAACAUUGAAGUCAAUGGGGAAAUCUUCCAAUUCUUCCUGUUAUUCUUCCACCUUCUGAACCUUGUAACUUCUGCAUACUUUCACCUAGAGACCUCAUUUUUGCUUUAAAAUGUUCAUUGUCUUGUCGACUAUUACAGUUGUAGUCAGUUUUUUGAUAUCUUUUACAGUUCUUCCACAACAAUUUAGCUUUAAGCAACUUGUGGUUUUCAGCAAAUUUUCAGGCUUUAUAAUGGGUGUGUAUUGGAGAGUUUAGAGUGAGGAUUUGAAAAGCUAGAGUGCAGACCUCGUCUCUGAUCGACAGAACCUCGCUCGAAUAUAUCGCUCCCACGCCUACAAAUCUCACUCCACAGACAUAAAAAAUACAUCAAAAUGGAGGUAUAUGUGUCCUGCUUCUCACAAAAGAGGUUUCAAAUCAUUUAAUCCUACCCCUUGGCCAGCAGGUGACCAACUGUUCAAAUAGGCGGAAAUCUCUCCCAUUAGCCCUAAUGUAUUUUUUCUGCAAGAAAAUCCUUAUCGCCACUCAGGCUCAGACUUUUUUAACUCGCUGUUGUGGCCACAUUUCUUGGAGUACAGACAUGAAAAACACAUCAUUGUGUUCAUGAAGGGCGGAGGAUUCGUACGAUGUUCUUAUUUUCAUUCUUGGACUUAAGGAAAUCACGCUAUGUGAAGAAGUUCAGAGGCAAUAAAUUCACUGCACUUAAGGAGCUUCUCAGUCAAACAGUUGGUCAGUUAAUGCCUUUGAUCUCACAGCUGUUUAGGAUGCAGUCAUUAAGGAGAGACACACACACACACAUUCUUGUACUUGCUGCCUUGUGAGGUCUAUGAGAAAAGACCCACAAAGCGAGGACUACAAACUUUGAGCUACAGAAACCAUUCAGGGCUUCCAAAUAUUCAGCUCAUUGAGGACAAUAUGGGGUGUACUCAGGAUUUUUAUUCAUUUAACUUUUUCCCACUUUAAAAUUAUUCUCAUUAUUCAUGCAUUAUUAAAUGCUUCAGACAAAUCCAAACUCAUUCAAACUGAUUCAAACCUUUCGGAUACUUCAAACCUGUUUAACACAUUAGGACGUCUAAUUAUUUAAAGUUUUUCCCACUUCAAAAUCAUUCUCAUUAUUUAUGUAUGUUUUGAUUCUUCAAGCAAAAUCCCAGUUCUACCACUACAAUUACUACUUAUGUCACCUUAACUUGUAUCUUCACUUCUACCUCCACUGCUCUUGCUUCUCUUAAUAUUUUUUUACUUCUACUCUUACUUCUACCACGAGCUCUACUGCUUUGACUUCUACUUCUUCUAUUCUAAAACUACUUCUACUGCUUACAUGACUACUAAUAUCACUACUACAACUACCUAUUAUCAUACUACUUCUAGUACUACAACUUAAACUUAUGCCACUUCUCACGUACUUGCCUUUUAAGGUAAUUUACUUCUUCAUUCAAACUUUGUGUAAUUGUAAAAAAAUUUCCAGCCUCUUUCAGCAUGAAUCAAAUUUCAAUUUGAGGAGCAUAUUCGUACUAUUUAUUCUCCAACCUCUUAUUUACAAUUAUUUAACUUAUAUAUUUUUUCCCCCCUUCAACAGCUUUUACAUUUAUACCUUUCUCCAUGUUUUAUUAGCAGUUUAGCAUUGCUUUUUCAGCUUUCAGCACUCAGCAUUUCCACGCAUUUUCUGCAAGGAAAUGCAAUUUUUCUAGUUAAGUGGAAAUGCUGAUUAAGCAUUUCCACUUAUUGUUAUUCUCCCGUUUCUUUAUUAAGUGGAAAUGCUGAUAGGCAUUUCCACUUAUUGUUAUUCUCCCGUUUCUUUAUUAUUAAGUGGAAAUGCUGAUAGGCAUUUCCACUUAUUGUUAUUCUCCCGUUUCUUUAUUAUUAUUAUUAUUAUUAUUAUUAUUCUUCCGCCGUUUUUCGUCCGCUUUCAACUCCUUCCCAGUUUGUGCGAUUUCAACCGUUCAAACUUUAAACUAUUCCACUCCUUCAGGACACGUUUGCUAUUACUUUUCACUUUUCUAACAUUUAUACUUUUUGUUUUUUUUAACUUUUUGUGCAAAAAUUUUAACAUUGAAGUCAAUGGGGAAAUCUUCCAAUUCUUCCUUUUAUUCUUCCACCUUCUAGACCUUAUAACUUCAGCAUACUUUCACCUAGAGACCUCAUUUUUGCUUUAAAAUGUUCAUUCACUUGUCGACUAUUAAAGUUGUACUCAGUUUUUUUAUAUCUCUUACAGUUUUUCCACAAUUUAGCUUUAAGCAACUUGUGGUUUUCAGCAAAUUUCAGGCUUUAUAAUGGGUGUGUAUUGGAGAGUUUAGAGUGAUGAUGUCAUCAGCUAGAGUGCAGACCUCGUCUCUGAUCGACAGAACCUCGCUCGAAUAUAUCGCUCCCACGCCCACAAAUCUCACUCCACUGACACAAAUAAUACAUCAAAAUGGAGGUAUAUGUGUCCUGCUUCUCACAAAAGAGGUUUCAAAUCAUUAAAUCGUACCCCUUGGCCAGCAGGUGACCAACUGUCCAAAGAAGGCGGAAAUCUCUCCCAUUGACCGUAAUGUUAAUUUUCUCCAAGAAAAUCCGGAUCAUCGCUCAGGCUCAGACUUUUUUAACUCGCUGUUGUGGCCACAUCUGUCGGAGUACAGACAUGAAAAAUACUUCAUUGUGUUCAUGAAGGGCGGAGGAUUCGUACGAUGUUCUUAUUUUCAUUCUGUGACUUAAGGAAAUCACGCUAUGUGAAGAAGUUUAGAGCCUCUAAAUCCUCUGCAGUUCAGCUGCUUCUCAUUCAAACAGUAGGUCAGUGAUUUGCCUUUGAUCUCACAGCUGUUUAGGAUGCAGUCAUUAACGAGACACACACACACACACACACACACACACACAUUCUUGUACUUGUUGCUUUAUGAGGUCUACCUUGCAGUUCAGCUGCUUGUACACACAGUUAAUAUGUGUCUGCUUCACCACCUAUCUCCACCCACAAACUUUGAGCUACAGAAACCAUUCUGGGCUUCUAAAAUUCAGCUCAUUGAAGAUAUUAUGGGGUGUUUUGAGGAUUGUGAUAAUAAAUUGUAUUAAUGUGUUUAGCAGAGUCUUGUGUUCUCACAAGCUCCUUAUCAGGAAUAGAUACAGAGGAUGAGCGUCAGGGCCUACUUGGAGUCCUGUUUCCUUAGCUUCAAGCCUUCUUUCUCCUGCUAUAGUUAUGCAUCCAAGGUCCCCAUGGCAACCAAUUAGUGCACCUGGAGACACACAGCUGACUGGAAAGCUGCUUCUAAUGGCCAUAUGAGACACAUGAAGCCAGGCUCAGUACACAUAGCACUGGGGAUGACACUUAAAACCCUUUCCUAGAGCGCUUGAAAAAACUUCAGCCCCUAUCUCCUCACAUGACCUUUGACCUACAGAAACCAUUCAGGGCUUUAAAAUUUAAGCUCAUUGAGGACAUUAUGGGGUGUAUUUAGGAUUUAUAUUCAUUUAAAUUUUUCACAUUUUAAAGUCACUCAGUGAUGAUUUAUCAUUUAAUUUUUCAAACUAAUUUGAACUGAUUCAAACUGAUUCAAACCUUUCUAAUACUUAAAAAAUUAAACUUAUGCCACUUCCCACCUUCCUGCCUUUUAAGGCAAUUUCCUUCUUCAUUCAAACUUUGUGCAAUUUUAGACAUUUUUCUAGCCUCUUUCAGCAUGAAUAAAAUUUCUUUUUAUAGAGCAUAUUCAUACUAUUUGUCCUUCAACCAAUUAAUCAAUUAUCCAACUUACAUUUCUUUCACACCCCUUCAACAGCUUUAACAUUUAUACCUUUCUCCAUGUUUUAUUAGCAGUUUAGCAUUGCUUUUUCAGCUUUCAGCACUCAGCAUUUCCACGCAUUUUCUGCAAGGAAAUGCAAUUUUUCUAGUUAUUAUUAUUAUUAUUAUUAUUCUUCCGCCGUUUUUCGUCCGCUUUCAACUCCUUCCCAGUUUGUGCGAUUUCAACCGUUCAAACUUUAAACUAUUCCACUCCUUCAGGACACGUUUGCUAUUACUUUUCACUUUUCUAACAUUUAUACUUUUUGUUUUUUUUAACUUUUUGUGCAAAAAUUUUAACAUUGAAGUCAAUGGGGAAAUCUUCCAAUUCUUCCUUUUAUUCUUCCACCUUCUAGACCUUAUAACUUCAGCAUACUUUCACCUAGAGACCUCAUUUUUGCUUUAAAAUGUUCAUUCACUUGUCGACUAUUAAAGUUGUACUCAGUUUUUUUAUAUCUCUUACAGUUUUUCCACAAUUUAGCUUUAAGCAACUUGUGGUUUUCAGCAAAUUUCAAGCUUUAUAAUGGGUGUGUAUUGGAGAGUUUAGAGUGAUGAUGUCAUCAGCUAGAGUGCAGACCUCGUCUCUGAUCGACAGAACCUCGCUCGAAUAUAUCGCUCCCACGCCCACAAAUCUCACUCCACUGACACAAAUAAUACAUCAAAAUGGAGGUAUAUGUGUCCUGCUUCUCACAAAAGAGGUUUCAAAUAAUUAAAUCGUACCCCUUGGCCAGCAGGUGACCAACUGUCCAAAAAAGGCAGAAAUCUCUCCCAUUGACCGUAAUGUAAUUUGUCUCCAAGAAAAUCCGGAUCAUCGCUCAGGCUCAGACUUUUUUAACUCGCUGUUGUGGCCACAUUUUUCGGAGUACAGACAUGAAAAACACAUCAUUGUGUUCAUGAAGGGCGGAGGAUUCGUACGAUGUUCUUAUUUUCAUUCUGGGACUUAAGGAAAUCACGCUAUGUGAAGAAGUUUAGAGCCUCUAAAUCCUCUGCAGUUCAGCUGCUUCUCAUUCAAACAGUAGGUCAGUGAUUUGCCUUUGAUCUCACAGCUGUUUAGGAUGCAGUCAUUAACGAGACACACACACACACACACACACACACACAUUCUUGUACUUGUUGCUUUAUGAGGUCUACCUUGCAGUUCAGCUGCUUGUACACACAGUUAAUAUGUGUCUGCUUCGCCACCUAUCUCCACCCACAAACUUUGAGCUACAGAAACCAUUCUGGGCUUCUAAAAUUCAGCUCAUUGAAGAUAUUAUGGGGUGUUUUGAGGAUUGUGAUAAUAAAUUGUAUUAAUGUGUUUAGCAGAGUCUUGUGUUCUCACAAGCUCCUUAUCAGGAAUAGAUACAGAGGAUGAGCGUCAGGGCCUACUUGGAGUCCUGUUUCCUUAGCUUCAAGCCUUCUUUCUCCUGCUAUAGUUAUGCAUCCAAGGUCCCCAUGGCAACCAAUUAGUGCACCUGGAGACACACAGCUGACUGGAAAGCUGCUUCUAAUGGCCAUAUGAGACACAUGAAGCCAGGCUCAGCACACAUAGCACUGGGGAUGACACUUAAAACCCUUUACUAGAGCGCUUGAAAAAACUUCAGCCCCUAUCUCCUCACAUGACCUUUGACCUACAGAAACCAUUCAGGGCUUUAAAAUUUGAGCUCAUUGAGGACAUUAUGGUGUGUAUUUAGGAUUUAUAUACAUUUAGAUUUUUCACAUUUUAAAGUCACUCAGUGAUGAUUUAUCAUUUAAUUUUUCAAACUAAUUUGAACUGAUUCAAACUGAUUCAAACCUUUCUAAUAGUUAAAAAAUUAAACUUAUGCCACUUCCCACCUUCCUGCCUUUUAAGGCAAUUUCCUUCUUCAUUCAAACUUUGUGCAAUUUUAGACAUUUUUCUAGCCUCUUCCAGCAUGAAUAAAAUUUCUUUUUAUAGAGCAUAUUCAUACUAUUUGUCCUUCAACCAAUUAAUCAAUUAUCCAACUUACAUUUCUUUCACACCCCUUCAACAGCUUUAACAUUUAUACCUUUCUCCAUGUUUUAUUAGCAGUUUAGCAUUGCUUUUUCAGCUUUCAGCACUCAGCAUUUCCACGCAUUUUCUGCAAGGAAAUGCAAUUUUUCUAGUUAAGUGGAAAUGCUGAUAGGCAUUUCCACUUAUUGUUAUUCUCCCGUUUCUUUAUUAUUAUUAUUAUUAUUCUUCCGCCGUUUUUCGUCCGCUUUCAACUCCUUCCCAGUUUGUCCGAUUUCAACCGUUCAAACUUUAAACUAUUCCACUCCUUCAGGACACGUUUGCUAUUACUUUUCACUUUUCUAACAUUUAUACUUUUUGUUUUUUUUAACUUUUUGUGCAAAAAUUUUAACAUUGAAGUCAAUGGGGAAAUCUUCCAAUUCUUCCUUUUAUUCUUCCACCUUCUAGACCUUAUAACUUCAGCAUACUUUCACCUAGAGACCUCAUUUUUGCUUUAAAAUGUUCAUUCACUUGUCGACUAUUAUAGUUGUACUCAGUUUUUUGAUAUCUCUUACAGUUUUUCCACAAUUUAGCUUUAAGCAACUUGUGGUUUUCAGCAAAUUUCAAGCUUUAUAAUGGGUGUGUAUUGGAGAGUUUAGAGUGAUGAUGUCAUCAGCUAGAGUGCAGACCUCGUCUCUGAUCGACAGAACCUCGCUCGAAUAUAUCGCUCCCACGCCCACAAAUCUCACUCCACUGACACAAAUAAUACAUCAAAAUGGAGGUAUAUGUGUCCUGCUUCUCACAAAAGAGGUUUCAAAUCAUUAAAUCGUACCCCUUGGCCAGCAGGUGACCAACUGUCCAAAGAAGGCGGAAAUCUCUCCCAUUGACCGUAAUGUUAUUUUUCUCCAAGAAAAUCCGGAUCAUCGCUCAGGCUCAGACUUUUUUAACUCGCUGUUGUGGCCUCAUUUUUCGGAGUACAGACAUGAAAAACACAUCAUUGUGUUCAUGAAGGGCGGAGGAUUCGUACGAUGUUCUUAUUUUCAUUCUGUGACUUAAGGAAAACACGCUAUGUGAAGAAGUUUAGAGCCUCUAAAUCCUCUGCAGUUCAGCUGCUUCUCAUUCAAACAGUAGGUCAGUGAUUUGCCUUUGAUCUCACAGCUGUUUAGGAUGCAGUCAUUAACGAGACACACACACACACACACACACACACAUUCUUGUACUUGUUGCUUUAUGAGGUCUACCUUGCAGUUCAGCUGCUUGUACACACAGUUAAUAUGUGUCUGCUUCGCCACCUAUCUCCACCCACAAACUUUGAGCUACAGAAACCAUUCUGGGCUUCUAAAAUUCAGCUCAUUGAAGAUAUUAUGGGGUGUUUUGAGGAUUGUGAUAAUAAAUUGUAUUAAUGUGUUUAGCAGAGUCUUGUGUUCUCACAAGCUCCUUAUCAGGAAUAGAUACAGAGGAUGAGCGUCAGGGCCUACUUGGAGUCCUGUUUCCUUAGCUUCAAGCCUUCUUUCUCCUGCUAUAGUUAUGCAUCCAAGGUCCCCAUGGCAACCAAUUAGUGCACCUGGAGACACACAGCUGACUGGAAAGCUGCUUCUAAUGGCCAUAUGAGACACAUGAAGCCAGGCUCAGCACACAUAGCACUGGGGAUGACACUUAAAACCCUUUCCUAGAGCGCUUGAAAAAACUUCAGCCCCUAUCUCCUCACAUGACCUUUGACCUACAGAAACCAUUCAGGGCUUUAAAAUUUGAGCUCAUUGAGGACAUUAUGGGGUGUAUUUAGGAUUUAUAUACAUUUAGAUUUUUCACAUUUUAAAGUCACUCAGUGAUGAUUUAUCAUUUAAUUUUUCAAACUAAUUUGAACUGAUUCAAACUGAUUCAAACCUUUCUAAUACUUAAAAAAUUAAACUUAUGCCACUUCCCACCUUCCUGCCUUUUAAGGCAAUUUCCUUCUUCAUUCAAACUUUGUGCAAUUUUAGACAUUUUUCUAGCCUCUUUCAGUAUGAAUAAAAUUUCUUUUUAUAGAGCAUAUUCAUACUAUUUGUCCUUCAACCAAUUAAUCAAUUAUCCAACUUACAUUUCUUUCACACCCCUUCAACAGCUUUAACAUUUAUACAUUUCUCCAUGUUUUAUUAGCAGUUUAGCAUUGCUUUUUCAGCUUUCAGCACUCAGCAUUUCCACGCAUUUUCUGCAAGGAAAUGCAAUUUUUCUAGUUAAGUGGAAAUGCUGAUAGGCAUUUCCACUUAUUGUUAUUCUCCCGUUUCUUUAUUAUUAUUAUUAUUAUUAUUAUUAUUAUUCUUCCGCCGUUUUUCGUCCGCUUUCAACUCCUUCCCAGUUUGUGCGAUUUCAACCGUUCAAACUUUAAACUAUUCCACUCCUUCAGGACACGUUUGCUAUUACUUUUCACUUUUCUAACAUUUAUACUUUUUGUUUUUUUUAACUUUUUGUGCAAAAAUUUUAACAUUGAAGUCAAUGGGGAAAUCUUCCAAUUCUUCCUUUUAUUCUUCCACCUUCUAGACCUUAUAACUUCAGCAUACUUUCACCUAGAGACCUCAUUUUUGCUUUAAAAUGUUCAUUCACUUGUCGACUAUUAUAGUUGUACUCAGUUUUUUGAUAUCUUUUACAGUUUUUCCACAAUUUAGCUUUAAGCAACUUGUGGUUUUCAGCAAAUUUCAAGCUUUAUAAUGGGUGUGUAUUGGAGAGUUUAGAGUGAUGAUGUCAUCAGCUAGAGUGCAGACCUCGUCUCUGAUCGACAGAACCUCGCUCGAAUAUAUCGCUCCCACGCCCACAAAUCUCACUCCACUGACACAAAUAAUACAUCAAAAUGGAGGUAUAUGUGUCCUGCUUCUCACAAAAGAGGUUUCAAAUCAUUAAAUCCUACCCCUUGGCCAGCAGGUGACCAACUGUCCAAAAAAGGCGGAAAUCUCUCCCAUUGACCAUAAUGUUAUUUUUCUCCAAGAAAAUCCGGAUCAUCGCUCAGGCUCAGACUUUUUUAACUCGCUGUUGUGGCCUCAUUUUUCGAAGUACAGACAUGAAAAAGACAUCAUUGUGUUCAUGAAGGGCGGAGGAUUCGUACGAUGUUCUUAUUUUCAUUCUGUGACUUAAGGAAAUCACGCUAUGUGAAGAAGUUUAGAGCCUCUAAAUCCUCUGCAGUUCAGCUGCUUCUCAUUCAAACAGUAGGUCAGUGAUUUGCCUUUGAUCUCACAGCUGUUUAGGAUGCAGUCAUUAACGAGACACACACACACACACACACACACACAUUCUUGUACUUGUUGCUUUAUGAGGUCUACCUUGCAGUUCGACUGCUUGUACACACAGUUAAUAUGUGUCUGCUUCGCCACCUAUCUCCACCCACAAACUUUGAGCUACAGAAACCAUUCUGGGCUUCUAAAAUUCAGCUCAUUGAAGAUAUUAUGGGGUGUUUUGAGGAUUGUGAUAAUAAAUUGUAUUAAUGUGUUCAGCAGAGUCUUGUGUUCUCACAAGCUCCUUAUCAGGAAUAGAUACAGAGGAUGAGUGUCAGGGCCUACUUGGAGUCCUGUUUCCUUAGCUUCAAGCCUUCUUUCUCCUGCUAUAGUUAUGCAUCCAAGGUCCCCAUGGCAACCAAUUAGUGCACCUGGAGACACACAGCUGACUGGAAAGCUGCUUCUAAUGGCCAUAUGAGACACAUGAAGCCAGGCUCAGUACACAUAGCACUGGGGAUGACACUUAAAACCCUUUCCUAGAGCGCUUGAAAAAACUUCAGCCCCUAUCUCCUCACAUGACCUUUGACCUACAGAAACCAUUCAGGGCUUUAAAAUUUAAGCUCAUUGAGGACAUUAUGGGGUGUAUUUAGGAUUUAUAUUCAUUUAGAUUUUUCACAUUUUAAAGUCACUCAGUGAUGAUUUAUCAUUUAAUUUUUCAAACUAAUUUGAACUGAUUCAAACUGAUUCAAACCUUUCUAAUACUUAAAAAAUUAAACUUAUGCCACUUCUCACCUUCCUGCCUUUUAAGGCAAUUUCCUUCUUCAUUCAAACUUUGUGCAAUUUUAGACAUUUUUCUAGCCUCUUUCAGCAUGAAUAAAAUUUCCUUUUAUAGAGCAUAUUCAUACUAUUUGUCCUUCAACCAAUUAAUCAAUUAUCCAACUUAUAUUUCUGUUCACCCCUUCAACAGCUUUAACAUUUAUACCUUUCUCCAUGUUUUAUUAGCAGUUUAGCAUUGCUUUUUCAGCUUUCAGCACUCAGCAUUUCCACGCAUUUUCUGCAAGGAAAUGCAAUUUUUCUAGUUAUUAUUAUUAUUCUUCCGCCGUUUUUCGUCCGCUUUCAACUCCUUCCCAGUUUGUGCGAUUUCAACCGUUCAAACUUUAAACUAUUCCACUCCUUCAGGACACGUUUGCUAUUACUUUUCACUUUUCUAACAUUUAUACUUUUUGUUUUUUUUUACUUUUUGUGCAAAAAAUUUUAACAUUGAAGUCAAUGGGGAAAUCUUCCAAUUCUUCCUUUUUUUCUUCCACCUUCUAGACCUUAUAACUUCAGCAUACUUUCACCUAGAGACCUCAUUUUUGCUUUAAAAUGUUCAUUCACUUGUCGACUAUUACAGUUGUACUCAGUUUUUUGACAUCUCUUACAGUUUUUCCACAAUUUAGCUUUAAGCAACUUGUGGUUUUCAGCAAAUUUCAAGCUUUAUAAUGGGUGUGUAUUGGAGAGUUUAGAGUGAUGAUGUCAUCAGCUAGAGUGCAGACCUCGUCUCUGAUCGACAGAACCUCGCUCGAAUAUAUCGCUCCCACGCCCACAAAUCUCACUCCACUGACACAAAUAAUACAUCAAAAUGGAGGUAUAUGUGUCCUGCUUCUCACAAAAGAGGUUUCAAAUCAUUAAAUCGUACCCCUUGGCCAGCAGGUGACCAACUGUCCAAAGAAGGCGGAAAUCUCUCCCAUUGACGGUAAUGUUAUUUUUCUCCAAGAAAAUCCGGAUCAUCGCUCAGGCUCAGACUUUUUUAACUCGCUGUUGUGGCCACAUUUUUCGGAGUGCAGACAUGAAAAACACAUCAUUGUGUUCAUGAAGGACGGAGGAUUCGUACGAUGUUCUUAUUUUCAUUCUGGGACUUAAGGAAAUCACGCUAUGUGAAGAAGUUCACAGGCUUCAAAUCCUCUGCUGUUCAGCUGCUUCUCAUUCAAACAGUAGGUCAGUGAUUUGCCUUUGAUCUCACAGCUGUUAGGGAUGCAGUCAUUAAUGAGAAACACACACACACACGCACACAUUCUUGUACUUGUUGCAUUGUCAGGUCUACCUUGCAGUUCACCUGCUUGUACACACAGAUAAUAUGUGUCUGCUUCACCACCUAUCUCCACCCACAAACUUUGAGCUACAGAAACCAUUCUGGGCUUGAAAAAUUCAGCUCAUUGAAGAUAUUAUGGGGUGUUUUGAGGAUUGUGAUAAUAAAUUGUAUUAAUGUGUUCAGCAGAGUCUUGUGUUCUCACAAGCUCCUUAUGAAUAUAUACAGAGGGUGAGCGUCAGGGCCUACUUGGAGUCCUGUUUCCUUAGCUUCAAGCCUUCUUUCUCCUGCUAUAGUUAUGCAUCCAAGGUCCCCAUGGCAACCAAUUUGUGCACCUGGAGACACACAGCUGACUGGAAAGCUGCUUCUAAUGGCCAUAUGAGACACAUGAAGCCAGGCUCAGUACACAUAGCACUGGGGAUGACACUUAAAACCCUUUCCUAGAGCGCUUGAAAAACCUUCAGCCCCUAUCUCCUCACAUGACCUUUGACCUACAGAAACCAUUCAGGGCUUUAAAAUUUAAGCUCAUUGAGGACAUUAUGGGGUGUAUUUAGGAUUUAUAUUCAUUUAAAUUUUUCUCAUUUUAAAGUCACUCAGUGAUGAUUUAUCAUUUAAUUUUUCAAACUAAUUUAAACUCAUUCAAACUGAUUCAAACCUUUCUAAUACUUAAAAACUUUCUGAUACUUGAGGAUUUUUAAUUAAUAAAAUUUUCCCUGUUUUAUAUUAUUUUUAAUAUUUAUGCAUUAAUCCGUCCUUCAAACAAAAUCCUACCUCUAGUACUACAACUACUUAUGUCAAUUAAACUAGAACUUUCCCCUCUACUUCAACUGCUAUUGCUCCUAUUUCUACUUUCUCUACUGCUGCUAUUGCUACUAUUUCUACUUUCUUUACUACUUUGACUUAUACUUCUUUUAUUCUCAAUCUACUUCUACUGCUGACAUGACUACUAGUAUCACGACUUGACUUCUUAUCAUACUUCUUCUAGUACUACAACUUAAACUUAUGCCACUUCUCACCUUCCUGCCUUUAAAGGCAGUUUCCUUCUUCAUUCAAACUUUGUGCAAUUUUCGACAUUUUUCUAGCCUCUUUCAGCAUGAAUAAAAUUUCCUUUUAUAGAGCAUAUUCAUACUAUUUGUCCUUCAACCAAUUAAACUAUUAUCCAACUUAUAUUUCUUUUUCACCCCUUCAACAGCUUUAACAUUUAUACCUUUCUCCAUGUUUUAUUAGCAGUUUAGCAUUGCUUUUUCAGCUUUCAGCACUCAGCAUUUCCACGCAUUUUCUGCAAGGAAAUGCAAUUUUUCUAGUAUUAUACUUAACACUCUCCCCAUACGUUUCUUUGGACCGCUUCUCCUCCUUCAAAAUUUGUCCGAUUUCAACCGUUCAAACUUUAAACUAUUCCACUCCAUCAGGACAUGUGUGCUUGUAUUUUUUUCCUUUCUAUCCUUUGUACUUUUUAUUAUUUUUCACUUUUUGUGCCAAACUUUUUUUCCCAUAGAAAUGAAUGGGGAAAUCUUCCACUUCUUCCUGUUAUUCGUCCACCUUCUAAGCCUUAUAACUUCACCAUACUUUCACCUAGAGACCUCAUUUUUGCUUUAAAAUGUUCAUUGUCUUGUCGACUAUUGAUGUUGUAUUAACCUCUUUGUGCUAUCUUUUACAGUUUUUCCACAGUUUAGCUUUAUGCAACUUGUGGUUUUCAGCAAAUUUCAGGCUUUAUAAUGGGGCAGUAUUGGAGAGGCUAGAGUGAUGAUUUGAAAAGCUAGAGUGCAGACCUCGUCUCUGAUCGACAGAACCUCGCUUGAAUAUAUCGCUCCCACGCCCACAAAUCUCACUCCACAGCCAUAAAAAAUACAUCAAAAUGGAGGUAUAUGUGUCCUGCUUCUCACAAAAGAGGUUUCAAAUCAUUAAAUCCUACCCCUUGGCCAGCAGGUGACCAACUGUCCAAAUAGGCGGAAAUCUCUCCCCAUUGGCCCUAAUGUAUUUUUUCUCCAAGAAAAUCCUUAUCGUCACUCAGGCUCAGACUUUUUUAACUCGCUGUUGUGGCCACAUUUUUCGGAGUACAGACAUGAAAAACACAUCAUUGUGUUCAUGAAGGGCGGAGGAUUCGUACGAUGUUCUUAUUUUCAUUCUGGGAUUUAAGGAAAUCGUGCUAUGUGAAAAAGUUCAGAACCCUAAAUUCACUGCAGUUCAGCAGCUUCUCAGUCAAACAGUAGGUCAGUGAUUUGCCUUUGAUCUUACAGCUGUUUAGGAUGCAAUCAUUAACGAGACACACACACACACACACACACACACACAUUCUGCAUCCAAGGUCCCCAUGGCAACCAAUUUGUGCACCUGGAGACACACAGCUGAAUGGAAAGCUGCUUCUAAUGGCCAUAUGAGACACAUGAAGCCAGACUCAGUACACAUAGCACUGGGGAUGACACUUAAAACCCUUUCCUAGAGCGCUUGAAAAAACUUCAGCCCCCAUCUCCUCACAUGACCUUUGACCUACAGAAACCAUUCAGGGCUUUAAAAUUUAAGCUCAUUGAGGACAUUAUGGGGUGUAUUCAGGAUUUUUCUUCAUAUACAUUUUUCAAAUUUUAAAGUCACUCAGUGUUGAUUUAUUAUUUAAUUUGUAAACUAAUUUAAACUCAUUCAAACUCAUUCAUACCUUUCUGAUACUUAAAAUCUUACUGAUACUUGAGGAUUUUCAAUUAUUUAAAUUUACCCUGAUUUAAAUUAGUUUUAAUAUUUAUGCAUUAUUCCAUCCUUCAAACAAAAUCCCAUCUCUAGAGCUACAACUACUGCUAAUGUCAAUUAAACUAGAACUUUCCCCUCUACUUCAACUGCUAUUGCUCCGAUUUCUACUUUCUCUACUGCUGCUAUUGCUACUAUUUCUACUUUUUCUACUACUUUGACUUAUACUUUUUUCCCAAACUACUUCUACUGCUGACAUGACUACUAAUAUCACUACUCGACUACUUAUCAUACUACUUCUAGUACUACAACUUAAACUUAUGCCACUUCUCACCUUCCUGCCUUUUAAGGCAAUUUCCUUCUUCAUUCAAACUUUGUGCAAUUUUAGACAUUUUUCUAGCCUCUUUCAGCAUGAAUAAAAUUUCCUUUUAUAGAGCAUAUUCAUACUAUUUGUCCUUCAACCAAUUAAACAAUUAUCCAACUUAUAUUUCUUUUUCACCCCUUCAACAGCUUUAACAUUUAUACCUUUCUCCAUGUUUUAUUAGCAGUUUAGCAUUGCUUUUUCAGCUUUCAGCACUCAGCAUUUCCACGCAUUUUCUGCAAGGAAAUGCAAUUUUUCUAGUUAAGUGGAAAUGCUGAUUAAGCAUUUCCACUUAUUGUUAUUCCUGUCGGCCAUUUUUCUUUAUUAUUAUUAAGUGGAAAUGCUGAUUAAGCAUUUCCACUUAUUGUUAUUCCUGUCGGCCAUUUUUCUUUAUUAUUAUUAUUAUUAUUAUUAAGUGGAAAUGCUGAUUAAGCAUUUCCACUUAUUGUUAUUCCUGUCGGCCAUUUUUCUUUAUUAAGUGGAAAUGCUGAUUAAGCAUUUCCACUUAUUGUUAUUCUGUUCUUUAUUAUUAUUAUUAUUAUUAUUAUUUUUCUUCCGCCGUUUUUCGUCCGCUUUCAACUCCUUCAAACUUUGUCCGAUUUCAACCGUUCAAACUUUAAACUAUUCCACUCCUUCAGGACAUGUUUGCUUGUACUUUUUACCUUUCUACCUUUUAUACUUUUUGUUUUUUUUAACUUUUUGUGCAAAAAUUUUAACAUUGAAGUCAAUGGGGAAAUCUUCCACUCCUUCCUUUUAUUCUUCCACCUUCUAGACCUUAUAACUUCAGCAUACUUUCACCUAGAAACCUCAUUUUUGCUUUAAAAUGUUCAUUCACUUGUCGACUAUUACAGUUGUACUCAGUUUUUUGAUAUCUCUUACAGUUUUUCCACAAUUUAGCUUUAAGCAACUUGUGGUUUUCAGCAAAUUUCAAGCUUUAUAAUGGGUGUGUAUUGGAGAGUUUAGAGUGAUGAUGUCAUCAGCUAGAGUGCAGACCUCGUCUCUGAUCGACAGAACCUCGCUCGAAUAUAUCGCUCCCACGCCCACAAAUCUCACUCCACUGACACAAAUAAUACAUCAAAAUGGAGGUGUAUGUGUCCUGCUUCUCACAAAAGAGGUUUCAAAUCAUUAAAUCCUACCCCUUGGCCAGCAGGUGACCAACUGUCCAAAAAAGGCGGAAAUCUCUCCCAUUGACCGUAAUGUUAUUUUUUAAUGUUAAAAUCUGGAUCAUCGCUCAGGCUCAGACUUUUUUAACUCGCUGUUGUGGCCUCAUUUUUCGAAGUACAGACAUGAAAAACACAUCAUUGUGUUCAUGAAGGACGGAGGAUUCGUACGAUGUUCUUAUUUUCAUUCUGGGACUUAAGGAAAUCACGCUAUGUGAAGAAGUUCACAGGCUUCAAAUCCUCUGCAGUUCAGCUGCUUCUCAUUCAAACAGUAGGUCAGUGAUUUGCCUUUGAUCUCACAGCUGUUUAGGAUUAAAUCAUUAAUGACACACACACACCUCUGACAAUGUGUGUGCGUCAGUCUCUUUCUCUCUAUGAGACCUUCAGGUACACACAGUAAAUAUGUGCCUGCGUGAGUCUCUCUCUGUCUAUGAGACCUGAACACACUUUGACCAUGUGUCUGCUUCACUACCUAUCUUCUCUCACAAACUUUGAGACACAGACACAUUUAGGGCUUCAAAAAUUGCAGCUCAUUGAGGACAUUAUGGAGUCUACAGAGGAUUCAUUUAAAUUGUCCUUAUUUAAAAUCAUUCUCAUUAUUUAUGCAUUAUUCAAUUCUUCUAACAAAUUUAAUCUCAUUCUUAUUCUAACC